AGACCAGGCUGCCCUGGGGAUCAUAGGAGGCCCACCUUUCUCUGCCUUCCUAGGGAUGAUACAGGACCUCACACCCAGUCCCGCCUUGCUUUUGAGACGUGGCCCCGUACUGGCACCUGGGAUGUGCGGACAAAGCUUGGCACCGGUUUUGAUGUUACAGAAUAUUUCGGUUUCUGCCCUGGAACCAGCCUCAUGCCAGCCACACGAGUCAAUCAAGACCUUCCAGACAAAUCCUUUGCCGUGGGUCGCACCAGGGAAAGAACCAGCGAGGCCAGUUCAAGCAGAGCCACCUCCCUUGUCACACCUGCCUUGUCACACCCGCCUUGUCACACCCGCCAUGUCCCUGGUAAGCCUGCCUGCUGUUGAAAUCUGUCCCUCAUGCCAGACCUCAUAGCGUGGGAGAAACACAGGGAAGAUUCACUGUCAGCCUUUCUCCAUGACUAAAGAUGACUCUCCUUCCUUCUGCUCCGAUCUCUCCAAUAAAAAUGUACUUUUGA
Molecule: long non-coding RNA, 497 nt
Organism: Mesocricetus auratus (golden hamster)
Lineage: Eukaryota; Metazoa; Chordata; Mammalia; Rodentia; Cricetidae
Exons: 3
Source: RefSeq, a predicted model, not a curated record